GAUGAACGCUGGCGGCGUGCCUAAUACAUGCAAGUCGAGCGAACAGACGAGGAGCUUGCUCCUCUGACGUUAGCGGCGGACGGGUGAGUAACACGUGGAUAACCUACCUAUAAGACUGGGAUAACUUCGGGAAACCGGAGCUACUACCGGAUAAUAUAUUGAACCGCAUGGUUCAAUAGUGAAAGACGCUUUUGCUGUCACUUAUAGAUGGAUCCGGGUCGCAUUAGCUAGUUGGUAAGGUAACGGCUUACCAAGGCAACGAUGCGUAGCCGACCUGAACGGGUCAUCCGCUAGACGGGAAGAGAGGAUCGGCCGCGACACUGACGGGGGGAAGCGGUAGGGACUCUUCCGCGAUGGGCGAAUGCCGGACGGUGCAAAGCCGCGUGAGGGAUGAAGGACUUCGGAUGGUAGAACUCUGUAAUUAGGAAAGAAGAAAAGUGUAAGUAACUAUGAACGUAUUGACGGUACCUAAUCAGAAAGCCACGGCUAACUACGUG
Molecule: ribosomal RNA, 497 nt
Filed under: uncultured bacterium
Lineage: Bacteria
Description: partial 16S ribosomal RNA
Rfam family: Bacterial small subunit ribosomal RNA
Source: RNAcentral